AAUCCUGGCUCAGGAUGAACGCUAGCUACAGGCUUAACACAUGCAAGUCGAGGGGCAGCAUGAACUUAGCUUGCUAAGUUUGAUGGCGACCGGCGCACGGGUGAGUAACACGUAUCCAACCUGCCGAUGACUCGGGGGAUAGCCUUUCGAAAGAAAGAUUAAUACCCGAUGGCAUAGUUCUUCCGCAUGGUAGAACUAUUAAAGAAUUUCGGUCAUCGAUGGGGAUGCGUUCCAUUAGGUUGUUGGG
RNAcentral lists this ribosomal RNA (247 nucleotides) under uncultured bacterium. Its description in RNAcentral is "partial 16S ribosomal RNA". It matches the Rfam family "Bacterial small subunit ribosomal RNA", at positions 15 to 253 of the family's 1533-position model. The record is from RNAcentral.